CACCAGGAGUGGAGCCUGCGGCUUAAUUUGACUCAACACGGGGAAACUUACUAGAUUAGAACUCUGGAAUGAUUGACAGAUUGAUAGCUCUUUCUUGAUUCAGAGGAUGGUGGUGCAUGGCCGUUCUUGAUUCGUAUUCCGAAACGUCUGCUUAAUUGCGAUAACGAGUGAGACCUCACCCAACUAACUAGUCGUUUGGUGCGCUAAGAACGCAAAAGUCCUGGCGGAUCCCUUGUAGGGUGGCCUUUCGGGGUUUGCUUUAUGAGGCCCGUUUUGGAUGUUCUCUGCUCGCCAGCGGACUUCUUAGAGGGAUAAACGGUGUUUUAGCCGUAAGAAACGAGGCAAUAACAGGUCUGUGAUGCCCUUAGAUAUUCUAGGCCGCACGCGUGCUACAAUGGCGUGUGCAGAAAGCUUGUUCGAGGUUCGUCUAGGGAGAACUAGUCGUUUGGCUUGGCGAUUUGCAGCAAUGUAGGUUGUCGGUCGGCGGAAAAGUACCCUGGUUAUCGGGCCGAGAGAAACCGUAGUCGAAAGAUUACGGCAAUCAUAAAUACACGCCGUGAUUUGGGAUUGGGGAUUGCAAUUGUUGCCCAUGAACGAGGAAUUCCCAGUAAGCGCAAUUCAUCAUAUUGCGUUGAUUACGUCCCUGCCCUUUGUACACACCGCCCGUCGCUACUACCGAUUGGAAGUUUUAGUGAGGCAUCUGGACCUGCUUUCCAUCGAAGGGGCAACCUUUCUAGGCGAGCGGGGAAGUUUGUCGAACUCAAAUUUCUAGAGGAAGUAA
This 781-nucleotide ribosomal RNA is filed under the name Epitrimerus sp. Ca2-1. Its description in RNAcentral is "SSU rRNA". It matches the Rfam family "Eukaryotic small subunit ribosomal RNA", at positions 1168 to 1785 of the family's 1831-position model. Lineage: Eukaryota; Metazoa; Arthropoda; Arachnida; Trombidiformes; Eriophyidae. The record is from RNAcentral.